Long non-coding RNA from Dermacentor silvarum, 1550 nucleotides. RefSeq lists it as uncharacterized. The transcript has 2 exons. NCBI's taxonomy places the organism in Eukaryota, Metazoa, Arthropoda, Arachnida, Ixodida, Ixodidae. The record is from RefSeq and is a predicted model, not a curated record.
UUAUACUGGGAGUGACUGGACCCAGUUGGGAUCCAACUGGAACUUUGACCAGUUGUACUGGAAUCAACUGGUUCCAGUUGGAUUCCAACUGGAACAUUGACCAGUUGUACUGGUAGCAACUGGUUCCAGUUUGGAUCCUAAUGAAAUGGUGACAGAAGUUUAACUGAAAGCAAGUAACAUGCAGUGCUUGCUAAGACAGCAGCAGCUAGUCUAUAUACUUAUACUGAGUAAUUAUGUUUGGCAGUUUGAGCAACCCUAGCAAAAAUUCUAAUAGAAGUUUGUAAUAAUUAGUCUAAUACAGUUUUGUAUUAGGACGUGUAUAAGUUUUGUAUUAGACCAAUUGACAGAAAUGUCUAUUAGUCGUACUGAUUUACCUGUAAGAACAAUGGCCCUGUGUAUUGUACUUAUAAGUCUUACACAAUCAGUGUUGCAUGUCUACUAGUUUCUCCAUUAGACUAAUGGUUCUAUUGGCCUUAUCCUGAUUGUUGCUGGUUUGAUACAACAUGUAUUGCUGGAUUCCGCAGCUCUUGUUUGCUGGUGAAAGUUAAUUGAUAAAUAAUUAGACUAGCGGACCGCUUGCUUGCAUGGAGAGGCACGUGUUUCUAAUUAAUCACUGAAUAAUUAAAAAUUCUGCUGUACAAUUGUGCAGCAGAUUGCGUUCGUACGUUUGCAUUAGUUUCAGCGCACUAAGCUAGAAAUGGCCAUCUCAGCGACAUACACAAAAGCGACGUGCGCCUACAUGGUCUUGCCAAUUUCGCUUCACUGAACCUCGUCGCGAUGAGGCGUUGAGUUGGGUCGCUAAUGUUUACAGUACAGCGAAUACCUCCCCACAAAAAAAAAGGGGGAAAACCGAACAACCAGUCGUAAUCUGCAAGGCAGAUCGCGGUGCCCGGUCAGCUUACGAACGACGGUGCAAUAGCAGCAACCAUAUUUGUUUGCGGCUGAAGUUUCAUCAGUGUCGUAUUUUCUGUUGAAGUGCGCAUAAAGUAAAUGUUAAACUUUUAAUCUAAAUUGCUAACUUGAUACCGCAUAUAAAAGGCCGUAAUAUUUAUUGACAUCGAAGAGCAGUAUCGCAGAGAAGGGAACACGGCGGGCGGGAAGAAUAUAAAACUGCGACCGUAGUCAGCCGUAGUUGCGCACAGCACGUGUGCCAUGGCGGCUGCCAUGUCAAGGCGAGGCGUCACGCGAGGCGUGCGUGCGUGUUUGUGACUGAACGAUGUGUUUUUAAGGAACCCGUGGUGUUAGCGCCUGCGCAAUCUCAUUCGUGCGGUAGUACAUUUGGAUAGUUUUUAUCUGUGGCUGCUGUUGUAACUUCAAAACAACGCAAGGCAACUCUUUUACCCCUGUUCCUCGCGGCUUUGUGGAUCUAUCAGCAGGCAUCGAUGUGCAGCGUUUUCCCCGGCGCCGAUUUACCAUUUCGAGGUUUUUUUAACCACUUCCUCAAAAGGACGUCCUUUGGUUGAAGUCAACGAAAAGCUCUCAAUCAAGAUUGCAGGUGGCUACAUCGAAUGACACUUUGUAGACUGCAUCAAAUAAACAUUUGAUGAUGA